Molecule: ribosomal RNA, 487 nt
Filed under: Dactylogyrus balkanicus
Lineage: Eukaryota; Metazoa; Platyhelminthes; Monogenea; Dactylogyridea; Dactylogyridae
Description: bacterial SSU rRNA
Rfam family: Eukaryotic small subunit ribosomal RNA
Source: RNAcentral
UUUUUAUGUGGACCUCUGUCCUUGUGCCUUUGGUACUUGGAUAGAACCACAUAAGCAGGUGAAACUUCUUAGAGGAACUGGCGUCCAAAAAGGCGCACGAGAAAGAGCAAUAACAGGUCUGUGAUGCCCUAAGAUGUCCGGGGCCGCACGCGUGCUACAAUGACGAUGCUACUGAGCAUGAUUAACUUGUCCGAAAGGAUUGGUGAAACUGUUCAAUCAUCGUCGUGACUGGGAUUGGGGUUUGCAAUUGUCCCCCAUGAACCAGGAAUUCCUAGUAAGCACAAGUCAUAAGCUUGUGCUGAUUACGUCCCUGCCCUUUGUACACACCGCCCGUCGCUACUACCGAUUGAAUGGUUUAGCAAGGACAUUGGAUUGAGCUCUUGCGGUUACGACUGCUUGGGUUUGAGAAGAUGUCCGAACUUGAUCAUUUAGAGGAAGUAAAAGUCGUAACAAGGUUUCCGUAGGUGAACCUGCGGAAGGAUCAUUA